UGACGUUCAAGCAAAUCAAAUUGCUCAUCCAGAAGACGACGAACUCGCGGCUUCUCACCAGCAAAAUCAUUACCUACUUCUUCUUCUUUCUCUACAUUGCCAUUAUCCACUGCGAUUUCUUGAUUGCCAGAAGCCACAUAAUCAUUGGAUUCAUCAAUUAAAUUCAACUUCUUAUCAAUAUCCAAAUCAGCCCCUUCGUCAGGAAGAUUUGCACGAACAACAAAAUCCUCCUCCAAGUCCUCAAUAUCAGAACCAAACCGCGAUAAAUCACUGUCAUCAAGUAAUGCAGCCACUUCAGGAUCCAAUACUUUCUGUAUCCUGACGCCAACAGUCCUAGAGGCCACAUUAUAAAUCGACUUAUCAUUGGUAUCAUCACUUUUCACCUCGGAUACUCGCACUUUCGAAGCAUCAUAUGCCUUGACAUCGCGAGGAAGCUGAUCGGGAGUAGCUUUGGGAUUUUGAUAAAAAUAAGAGCCACCACCAGUGUUCUUAAUCUCCCUUAAAUGAAGCAAAUAAUUAUAGCCAUCAUCAGGAAAACCUAGCUCUAAAAUUUCCUUCCUCACAUGCUCAGGCAAAGGCCCAGACUCCGACACGGAAGCUUCACCACAUCCCCCUCCAAACUUGAUCGAACUGCCAAAAAGUCUACCAUUACCAUCUCCACCCUCAUCGGGAUCGUCAGGCGCAUCGGCGAAGAUGGAAGUAAAAUCUUCAUCGUCGUGAACAUUAGCGGAGAUACCGUCAGGGUUAUCUCCGUCGAAGAAGGUGUCGACAGAAUAGGGAUUAUUGUCUACUCGGACGAAUAUCCGGUCACCGCCCGGUGUUUCGGCGUAACUGGGAUCUGAUGAGUCGCGGGCGAGUAAUUGGAAAGUUGCGGAUUUCUUCUUGUCGAUAAAUUUCUUCGUCUUGCCCAUUGUCUGAGCUUAGUUAAUAAG
RNAcentral lists this unclassified non-coding RNA (932 nucleotides) under Hevea brasiliensis (rubber tree). The record is from RNAcentral. Lineage: Eukaryota; Viridiplantae; Streptophyta; Magnoliopsida; Malpighiales; Euphorbiaceae.